Molecule: transfer RNA, 75 nt
Filed under: subsurface metagenome
Description: tRNA-Met
Rfam family: tRNA
About the family: Transfer RNA (tRNA) molecules are approximately 80 nucleotides in length. Their secondary structure includes four short double-helical elements and three loops (D, anti-codon, and T loops). Further hydrogen bonds mediate the characteristic L-shaped molecular structure. tRNAs have two regions of fundamental functional importance: the anti-codon, which is responsible for specific mRNA codon recognition, and the 3' end, to which the tRNAs corresponding amino acid is attached (by aminoacyl-tRNA synthetases). tRNAs cope with the degeneracy of the genetic code in two manners: having more than one tRNA (with a specific anti-codon) for a particular amino acid; and 'wobble' base-pairing, i.e. permitting non-standard base-pairing at the 3rd anti-codon position.
Source: RNAcentral
GGCGGUGUAGCUCAGCUGGUUAGAGCAUACGGCUCAUACCCGUAGUGUCCGGGGUUCGAUUCCCUGCACCGCCAC